CCCUUAGAUGUUCUGGGCUGCACGCGCGCUACACUGACAUGUCCAGCGAGCUCCCAACCUGCUCGGCAAAGAAUGGGUACCCUUUUUAACGCAUGUCGUGAUGGGGAUAGAUUAUUGCAAUUAUUAGUCUUGAACGAGGAAUUCCUAGUAAGCACAAGUCAUCGGCUUGUGUUGAUUACGUCCCUGCCCUUUGUACACACCGCCCGUCGCUCCUACCGAUUGAAUGUUCCGGUGAGCUCUUCGGACUGCGCGGUCUGCAGUUUCUGCGUUCCGUGCGGAAAGUUGUGCAAACCUUAACAUUUAGAGGAAGGAGAAGUCGUAACA
RNAcentral lists this ribosomal RNA (324 nucleotides) under uncultured eukaryote. Its description in RNAcentral is "partial 18S ribosomal RNA". It matches the Rfam family "Eukaryotic small subunit ribosomal RNA", at positions 1470 to 1796 of the family's 1831-position model. The record is from RNAcentral.